UUGGAAGAUGCAUUAGCUGAUGUAAAGAAACUCUCUUCUCAACGGCAGAUAAUGUUAACUAAGCUCCAUAGAUGCUUUCUACAAUCAGAGGAAUAUGCCGAAAGGGUCAAAAACUCCGAACAAGACCUCAAGUUACUCGUUGAUGCGACGAUGGCUGAAGUUGAAGGGGCUGGGGAUGUGAACACUAGACAUGGUUUGGUUUACGCCAAUGGUCUGGUUUGAAAAUUUUCG
This 231-nucleotide unclassified non-coding RNA is filed under the name Hevea brasiliensis (rubber tree). The record is from RNAcentral. Lineage: Eukaryota; Viridiplantae; Streptophyta; Magnoliopsida; Malpighiales; Euphorbiaceae.